This 489-nucleotide ribosomal RNA is filed under the name uncultured Kurthia sp. RNAcentral describes it as "bacterial SSU rRNA". It matches the Rfam family "Bacterial small subunit ribosomal RNA", at positions 32 to 507 of the family's 1533-position model. The record is from RNAcentral. Lineage: Bacteria; Bacillati; Bacillota; Bacilli; Caryophanales; Caryophanaceae.
GACGACGCUGCGGCGUGCCAUACAUGCAAGUCGAGCGAAUGACGAGAAGCUUGCUUCUCUGAUUAGCGGCGGACGGGUGAGUAACACGUGGGCAACCUGCCCUACAGAUUGGGAUAACUCAGGGAAACCUGGGCUAAUACCGAAUAAUCCUUCGAAUCACAUGUUUUGAAGUUGAAAGGCGCUUCGGCGUCACUGUAGGAUGGGCCCGCGGUGCAUUAGCUAGUUGGUGGGGUAACGGCCUACCAAGGCAACGAUGCAUAGCCGACCUGAGAGGGUGAUCGGCCACAUUGGGACUGAGACACGGCCCAAACUCCUACGGGAGGCAGCAGUAGGGAAUCUUCCACAAUGGACGAAAGUCUGAUGGAGCAACGCCGCGUGAGUGAUGAAGGUUUUCGGAUCGUAAAACUCUGUUGUAAGGGAAGAACAAGUACGUUAGGAAAUGAACGUACCUUGACGGUACCUUAUUAGAAAGCCAUGGCUAACUACGUG